RNAcentral lists this ribosomal RNA (259 nucleotides) under uncultured bacterium. RNAcentral's name for it is "partial 16S ribosomal RNA". It matches the Rfam family "Bacterial small subunit ribosomal RNA", at positions 1242 to 1500 of the family's 1533-position model. The record is from RNAcentral.
UAGAGCAGCGAAACCGCGAGGUGGAGCGAAUCUNUAAAANACGGUCUCAGUUCGGAUUGCAGGCUGCAACUCGCCUGCAUGAAGUCGGAAUUGCUAGUAAUCGCGGAUCAGAAUGCCGCGGUGAAUACGUUCCCGGGUCUUGUACACACCGCCCGUCACACCAUGGGAGUCGGAAAUGCCCGAAGUCGGUGACCGAACCGAAAGGAAGGAGCCGCCGAAGGCAGGUCUGGUGACUGGGGUGAAGUCGUAACAAGGUAAC